Long non-coding RNA from Hipposideros armiger (great roundleaf bat), 311 nucleotides. RefSeq lists it as uncharacterized. NCBI's taxonomy places the organism in Eukaryota, Metazoa, Chordata, Mammalia, Chiroptera, Hipposideridae. The transcript is spliced from 3 exons. The record is from RefSeq and is a predicted model, not a curated record.
ACAGCAGAGGUUAUGAAAAGGAGAUAGUGAUGUGGCUUUAUGAGAGGCAGGGAUAAGAAGUACUUUUAAUUGUCUCUUUUGUUUCACAGUUCCAUCUGCUGUGACCCCUCACAUCUCCAAAGGUAGUACUCACAACCAUCCUACCAUCCUGGCAAGUGCUACAUGUGUAAUGGCAGUUUCUCUCCAUGACACCCAGUGUAGAGGACAACCCCCCUUGACCUCCACCUUCCACCAUCUCUGACAUCAGGAAGGAUGCUGUUUGGAGGGGGAGAAGGACCUGUCUUUAUUGGUGAAAAACUGAGCAAAGUGCU